GCGCAGGAAAAGAAACCAACAGGGAUUGCCUCAGUAACGGCGAGUGAAGCGGCAACAGCUCAAAUUUGAAAUCUGGCGUCUUCGGCGUCCGAGUUGUAAUUUGGAGAGAUUUCUUCGGGGUGAACACCGGUCCAAGUUCCUUGGAACAGGACGUCACAGAGGGUGAGAAUCCCGUGUCUGACCGGUUGCUUCAUUCCAUGUGAAGAGUCUUCGACGAGUCGAGUUGUUUGGGAAUGCAGCUCAAAAUGGGUGGUAAAUUUCAUCUAAAGCUAAAUAUUGGCGAGAGACCGAUAGCGCACAAGUAGAGUGAUCGAAAGAUGAAAAGCACUUUGAAAAGAGAGUUAAAAAGUACGUGAAAUUGUUGAAAGGGAAGCGCUUGAGACCAGACUCAAUUUGUGGUGAACAUCAGUCCUUCUGGGCUGUGCACUUGCCACUUUUUGGGCCAGCAUCGGUUCUGACCGUGUGAUAAAGGUCCUGGGAAUGUAGCUCCUCUCGGGGAGUGUUAUAGCCCAGGGCGUAAUGACAUGAGUUGGGACCGAGGACCGCGCUUCGGCUAGGAUACUGGCAUAAUGGUCUUCAGCGACCCGUCUUGAAACACGGACCAAGGAGUCUAACAUCUAUGCGAGUGUUCGGGUGGAAAACCCUUGCGCGUAAUGAAAGUGAACGGAGGUGGGAACCCCUCGGGGUGCACCAUCGACCGAUCCUGAUGUUCUCGGAUGGAUUUGA
Molecule: ribosomal RNA, 726 nt
Filed under: uncultured Ascodesmis
Lineage: Eukaryota; Fungi; Ascomycota; Pezizomycetes; Pezizales; Ascodesmidaceae
Description: eukaryotic LSU rRNA
Rfam family: Eukaryotic large subunit ribosomal RNA
Source: RNAcentral